Molecule: ribosomal RNA, 253 nt
Filed under: uncultured bacterium
Lineage: Bacteria
Description: partial 16S ribosomal RNA
Rfam family: Bacterial small subunit ribosomal RNA
Source: RNAcentral
UACGUAGGGGCUAGCGUUGUCCGGAAUCAUUGGGCGUAAAGAGCGUGUAGGCGGCCCGAUAAGUCCGCUGUGAAAGUCCAAAGGCUCAACCCUGGGAUGCCGGUGGAUACUGUCGGGCUCGAGUCCGGAAGAGGAGUGUGGAAUUCCUGGUGUAGCGGUGAAAUGCGCAGAUAUCAGGAGGAACACCGAUGGCGAAGGCAGGUCUCUGGGCAUUAACUGACGCUGAGGAGCGAAAGCAUGGGGAGCGAACAGG